Molecule: long non-coding RNA, 736 nt
Filed under: Homo sapiens (human)
Lineage: Eukaryota; Metazoa; Chordata; Mammalia; Primates; Hominidae
Description: HSALNT0270418
Source: RNAcentral
CAGCCAUACGGCAGCAGCUGCCUGUUGACGGCAGCGUUGGAUCCUCUGACCACAGCUGAAGCUUUGACCAACAAAAGUCCCAGGGAGCUGCUCAGGGCGGGAUCAGAAAAGAGGGUGCUUAGCAAGCCACACGCCACACACCCUCCCUGGGAGGCCCUGACAGCGCUUCUCUCCCUCCCAUUUUCGCUCUGGCAGCCAUCGUGGCGCAGACCGUGGAGCAGGGGCAGCUCUUACCCCUGGGUCUGGCAUCAGGAGCGUGUCCCACCGGCUCUGUUGCCGCAGCCUCAAAGCCCCACGUGGGGCAGCAGCCGGAUCGGCACUGGGGGAGCCGGAAUCCAUCAACCUCGGCCUCAGAUCAGCAUCCGCCCAGCCCUCCUGCCCCACAUCCGAGCCAUUUCAAGGGCUGCAGGGACAUUGGGAUGAUGGGGAAGUGGGCCGAGGACAGCCCCAGGGAAGGCUUUGUCUGAACUCCUCAAAUCACCGGGCGCUGACAUUUGGGAUUUUUGCCUUCCUGGCGCACCCCCACCCCACAUGCACACUCACGUGCAUGGCGUCGGCAGGAUGUGGGUGCUGCAGAGGUGCCCCCACUUCUGUGUCUCCCACGCAGCCCCGGGAACCUGGGCCCCACAGGAGCCAGGAGCUGCAGCACAGGACCAAGAAGCUUGACCUUUUCUCCCCAACUGCUAAAUCGCCAGUCCUUUGGAGCAACAGUGUCCUCUACAUAAAGGAGCAGUUA